ACUUAAAUAGUUUAAAAAAAAUAUUGAUUUGUGGAAUCAAAGAUAUUGGAUUAAUUUUAAGUA
Molecule: transfer RNA, 63 nt
Filed under: Hippodamia variegata
Lineage: Eukaryota; Metazoa; Arthropoda; Insecta; Coleoptera; Coccinellidae
Description: tRNA-His
Source: RNAcentral